This 347-nucleotide ribosomal RNA is filed under the name uncultured eukaryote. RNAcentral describes it as "SSU rRNA". It matches the Rfam family "Eukaryotic small subunit ribosomal RNA", at positions 20 to 370 of the family's 1831-position model. The record is from RNAcentral.
GUAGUCAUAUGCUUGUCUCAAAGAUUAAGCCAUGCAUGUCUAAGUAUAAGCAAUUAUACCGUGAAACUGCGAAUGGCUCAUUAAAUCAGUUAUCGUUUAUUUGAUAAUACCUUACUACUUGGAUAACCGUGGUAAUUCUAGAGCUAAUACAUGCUGAAAAUCCCGACUUCGGAAGGGAUGUGUUUAUUAGAUAAAAAACCAACGCGGUUUGCCGCUCCCUUGGUGAUUCAUAAUAACUUUUCGAAUCGCACGGCCUUGCGCCGGCGAUGCUUCAUUCAAAUAUCUGCCCUAUCAAGUUUAGAUGGUAGGAUAGAGGCCUACCAUGCUUUCAACGGGUAACGGGGAAU